This is a non-coding RNA of Mus caroli (Ryukyu mouse), 133 nucleotides long. The record is from RefSeq and is a predicted model, not a curated record. NCBI's taxonomy places the organism in Eukaryota, Metazoa, Chordata, Mammalia, Rodentia, Muridae.
CAGUUCCUAAAUGCUACUUAAAAAAAAAAGCAUAACCCAGAUGUUCCCUCAUUUGACCAACUCCAUCUAAGUUUAGAUGUGCAGAAGGGCUUAGAUAUAUCCAGAGUAAGCCACAUGCAACAUGUUACUUGAU